UGAGUACGAGAUGCUACGGCAUCGAAGCAGUCUAUGUCAUACUUCCAAGAAAAGCUUGCACUGUCAUAAACAAAGAAUGCCUGUACCAUAACCGACACAGGUGGGUAGGUAGAGUAUACUAAGGGGCGCGAGAUAACUCUCUCUAAGGAACUCGGCAAAAUGACUCCGUAACUUCGGGAGAAGGAGUGCCUUAUUUCUAAGGUUGCAAUAACAAGAUCCAAGCAACUGUUUACCAAAAACACAGGUCUCCGCUAAGUCGUAAGACGAUGUAUGGGGGCUGACGCCUGCCCAGUGCCAGAAGGUUAAAGAAGUUGGUUAGCAUUAGCGAAGCUGAUAACUGAAGCCCUGGUGAACGGCGGCCGUAACGAUAACGGUCCUAAGGUAGCGAAAUUCCUUGUCGGGUAAGUUCCGACCCGCACGAAAGGCGUAAUGAUUUGGAUACUGUCUCGGAGAGGGGCUCGGUGAAAUAGACUUGUCUGUGAAGAUGCGGACUACCUGCACCUGGACAGAAAGACCCUAUGAAGCUUUACUGUAACUUGAGAUUGAAAUUGGACUUUAUUUGCGCAGUAUAGGUGGGAGGCGUUGAGAAUAAUCUUGCGGGAUUGUUGGAGCCAUCAGUGAGAUACCACUCUUAAUGUUAGAUUCCUAACUUUGUAUCAUUAUCUGGUCAAAGAACAGUUUCAGGCGGGCAGUUUGACUGGGGCGGUCGCCUCCCAAAGGGUAACGGAGGCGCACAAAGGUUUCCUCUGAACGGGUAGAAAUCGUGUCUAGAGUGUAAAGGCAUAAGGAAGCUUGACUGUGAGACCUACAAGUCGAGCAGGGACGAAAGUCGGUCUUAGUGAUCUGACGGUGCUGAGUGGAAAGGCCGUCACUCAACGGAUAAAAGUUACUCUAAGGAUAACAGGCUGAUCUCCCCCAAGAGUUCACAUCGACGGGGAGGUUUGGCACCUCGAUGUCGGCUCAUCGCAUCCUGGGGCGGUAGUCCGUCCCAAGGGUUGGGCUGUUCGCCCAUGAAAGCGGUACGCGAGCUGGGUUCAGAACGUCGUGAGACAGUUCGGUCCAUAUCCGGUGUAGGCGUUAGAAUAUUGAGAGGAGCCUUCUCUAGUACGAGAGGACCGAGAAGGACAUACCUCUGGUGUACCAGUUAUCGUGCCAACGGUAAACGCUGGGUAGCUAUGUAUGGAGUGGAUAACCGCUGAAAGCAUCUAAGUGGGAAGCCCACCUCAAGAUAAGUAUUCUCAU
Molecule: ribosomal RNA, 1242 nt
Filed under: metagenome
Description: bacterial LSU rRNA
Rfam family: Bacterial large subunit ribosomal RNA
Source: RNAcentral